GCUCUUUGCACUUUCCCGGUGCUCACUAGGAGAACUGUCGUUGUGUGUGCACGCUGGAAAUAAUAGUUGUUGUUGUUUUACACUGCAGAGGGUUUUUAUUUAAGUCGUAAGAUUCGCUGGUUGUGAAUGAAAUCUCCGAGAGUUUCGGAUCUCACCCCAGCCGUGCCGGAUUCUGCGCCUCCUAAUUUGGAAGUGAGCCCCUUGAGGCUUACACUCCCAAGAGAGCGACCUUCUCAUGAAAUCAGAAUGUCUCCAAAUGAUCCAAGUCCUGCUUGUGCGAACAUGCUCUCGGGAUGUGCGAGCUGUGGGUGCAACUCUGCCUUCGGAGAUGCCCAGUUAGACUUGGGGUUGGGGGAAACGGCUUUGAGGUUUAAAAGGUUCAGGAUGGUAGAUGUGCUGCGUAAAAUUGCUGUUUGGAAUCACGAAGAUGGAAGAACUUAGUCCUGGCGCUGACAAAAGACUACCGGAGAAAUAGAUUCGAUCUUGGGGCAGUGGAGGGGGGGGGACUUAGGCUGGGCCCUUGGUUUGCAAGAAAAUAACGGUGGACAUGGACAAUUUCCUCUCCUCGUUCACGAGUAUUUAUGCUCAAGUUGACACUACUGAAGAACUUUCCAAAUUCACAACAGUAGCCUGAGGGGGUCAUCGAGCCCAGUAGCCUGUCUUUGACAGUGUCCAGAGCCAGAUGCGCCAGGAAGCGCUUUCAAAGGAGGGGGCGGUGAGAGGAGGGGGGUAUUCCCAUCACGGCUGGCCUCUGUAAAUGUAAGCAAUAUCAGAAAUGCUACGCAUCAGACCCAAAGAAAAAUUAAAAAGUGGUUCCUUUCAA
Podarcis muralis (Common wall lizard) is the source of this 823-nucleotide non-coding RNA. The record is from RefSeq and is a predicted model, not a curated record. Lineage: Eukaryota; Metazoa; Chordata; Lepidosauria; Squamata; Lacertidae.